This 496-nucleotide ribosomal RNA is filed under the name uncultured bacterium. RNAcentral describes it as "partial 16S ribosomal RNA". It matches the Rfam family "Bacterial small subunit ribosomal RNA", at positions 28 to 506 of the family's 1533-position model. The record is from RNAcentral.
GAUGAACGCUGGCGGCGUGCCUAAUACAUGCGAGUCGAGCGAACGGACGAGAAGCUUGCUUCUCUGAUGUUAGCGGCGGACGGGUGAGUAACACGUGGAUAACCUACCUAUAAGACUGGGAUAACUUCGGGAAACCGGAGCUAAUACCGGAUAAUAUUUUGAACCGCAUGGUUAAAAAGUGAAAGACGGUCUUGCUGUCACUUAUAGAUGGAUCCGCGCUGCAUUAGCUAGUUGGUAAGGUAACGGCUUACCAAGGCAACGAUGCAUAGCCGACCUGAGAGGGUGAUCGGCCACACUGGAACUGAGACACGGUCCAGACUCCUACGGGAGGCAGCAGUAGGGAAUCUUCCGCAAUGGGCGAAAGCCUGACGGAGCAACGCCGCGUGAGUGAUGAAGGUCUUCGGAUCGUAAAACUCUGUUAUUAGGGAAGAACAUAUGUGUAAGUAACUGUGCACAUCUUGACGGUACCUAAUCAGAAAGCCACGGCUAACUACGU